GAUAAGAACGUAGCGAAAUGCGAUAAGUAGUGUGAAUUGCAGAAUUCAGUGAAUCAUCGAAUCUUUGAACGCACAUUGCGCCCUUUGGUAUUCCUUAGGGCAUGCCUGUUCGAGCGUCAUUUAAACCUUCAAGCUCAGCUUGGUGUUGGGUGACUGUCCGCUUCACCGCGGACUCGCCUCAAAAUUAUUGGCGGCCGGUACAUUGGCUCUCGAGCGCAGCAGAAACGCGUAACUCGAGGUCCUCGUGCUGGCUCCCAGAAGCUAUCUUCACAAUUUUGACCUCGGAUCAGGUAGGGAUACCCGCUGAACUUAAGCAUAUCAAUAAGCGGAGGA
Molecule: unclassified non-coding RNA, 333 nt
Filed under: soil metagenome
Description: partial contains 5.8S ribosomal RNA, internal transcribed spacer 2, and large subunit ribosomal RNA
Rfam family: 5.8S ribosomal RNA (bases 4-119)
Source: RNAcentral